Long non-coding RNA from Dalotia coriaria, 822 nucleotides. RefSeq lists it as uncharacterized. The transcript is spliced from 3 exons. Lineage: Eukaryota; Metazoa; Arthropoda; Insecta; Coleoptera; Staphylinidae. The record is from RefSeq and is a predicted model, not a curated record.
UAACAUUGUUACUGUUGUGUUAAAAUUAAGCGAGUGUUAAUUGAAACAAUACAUUAAAAUGUAAUUAGUGUGAAGAAGUUUAAAGUGUACAUCAAAACUAUACAUUUUGCAAGUUUGGCGUGGUAUUGAAUGACCCCAUGCCCUAAAAUAUGUUUGCGCUGCUGAUGGUAAUGUAGCCCGAGGCACCUCCACAUCGAAGGACACACAUCCUGGAGUGCGAAAUGAAGCAUGCCGCUGCGUCGCAAGGACAUUAACUCUUCGCAGCGGAGUAGUGGAGUGGUCGGCUUUGCUGGUUGUUGGCGGCCGUGGCAAAUUGUAACUCGCGUAACUCAAACACGAGCAUGUCGGGCACAAAGUGCAGAAAGCUGGGAAAGCGCGCAGUGUGUGCUCUCGGAUACAUGUACGCUGAACCUGCUGAGGGUGCGGCCAUGAGGAGGUUAUUUAAGACUUAUUUGUUGCUUGAUGGUUUCGGUUAUACUAUUAAGUUACUCCGGCGGACUCCCGGAUAGUGGUUGCUGAUAAACUGCUCGAUAUGGAAAACAGUCUCGAUUCUUCACGUGGUGAAUUCUAAGGUGGAUGACUUCAAAGCACUGGCCGAUGACAGCGAAUCACAAACAAUAAUCCAUCACAUUACCAGAUUUCCAUGCGGUACAUGAAAGCAAUACUUGCAUCUCCCGACAAAAAGAUGAUUGAUACGAAAUCCAUUAAAUUAUGUGCUAAUACAUUCAAAGCACACGCCAUCCGAACGGAUUUGAUGUGUGUUUAAUUUCUGCGCAAACAAAUAAAUAUUUGUGUUUGUUCAGUAAACGAAAAGCAGCCAAA